Long non-coding RNA from Toxorhynchites rutilus septentrionalis, 811 nucleotides. RefSeq lists it as uncharacterized. The record is from RefSeq and is a predicted model, not a curated record. The transcript is spliced from 3 exons. NCBI's taxonomy places the organism in Eukaryota, Metazoa, Arthropoda, Insecta, Diptera, Culicidae.
GUUGGAUGGAAAAUGCUGCUGUGGAGCUUUGUGAGGGACAUUCUGUCUAGUGCGCUGGGAAGCGUGGAAUGGUUAAACUAAACGAAUGCAAUAUCACACUUUCUUUUCACCACAAUAAUAUGCUAAAUAGCAUCGAUUCGGUUGACUUCGCGAAUGACGUUAUCGCUAGCGUGUUGAUUCAGAUUGUGCAACUUUCUUCGACUGAGCGGCUUCAAGUGGAGUGACUUUCAACAUAUUUGGCUGGUUCGUUUCUUUUACCUUCCAUUUCGGAAGAAUGGAAGUGAGAAAGAGUUCCAAGGAUUUUCAGGUGCGUUGUACUAGGAUGCGUAGUACGGUUCUUCGAAACGCGUAAAAGUCAAGAAAAAAGUUUACAAUAAACCACCUUCGGGACGAAAAUGUGCCGGUGAGCACUGUUAACCGGAUCCUGCCAUUCCGGAACGUUGGGCGGAAGACCGGUAGUGGCCGUUCGGCGAAGAAGAAAAAGGAAUCUCUGAAAAAUAAAAAUCAAAUUCCCACUUUCCCGGCAAUGACCGACAAGGCCACCACACCCCCCGGGGUGAAGUACAAAUACAAGAAUGGUUUGGAAAGAAAGUUAUGCUGUAUAUUGCAAUCUCCCCUUUUCCCUGUUUUGUUUGAAUCUUAAUUUUGUAUUAUGUCAGAAUAAAGCAGAAGAAAAUAUGAAAUAGGACGUACCGCGUUGUUUUUCAUACCAUAAGAUGGAGAGUGUUUGUGUAUGAUUGAAUUACACGUGAGCAUUGUUUAUUAUAUACGUUGUCAAGGGUAGAUAAUGGUGAUGGUGGAACAAAUAUAG